UGGAGAUCCCUGUCUACUAGAGGCCUUCUAGUGGCUUUAAAAUCCCUAAUGCUCUGGGUAUGAACUACUGAUUAAUGACACAAACUUCUACCACUCAUCUGUGCGCUUGUGUAAAGCAUGAAUUACGCGAGACAAAAAUCAAACCAUCUACAGAGCUUCCCUACCCUACCCCUCCAUCUCUGCAGUGACCUGCUCAAGCAGAUGUACUUUGUGGGAUGUCACGGGACCGUUCUCAGACUUUGGAGGAAACUGUAGAUAUCUCUCCUGGAAAAUGAAGUUCCCUUAAAAUUAGGUUUUAAUGAAAACCCUUGGUUGCUGCAAGAACCUGUAAAGUCGUCUUAAUGUAAGAAGUGUGGUUAAUUGUGCCUAUAAUACUUUAAAGUUAUCCUGCCUCUCUACAUGUACCACUGUUAUUGGGCUAUGCAGUCAUACUCAGUAAAAUUGUA
Numida meleagris (helmeted guineafowl) is the source of this 446-nucleotide long non-coding RNA. RefSeq lists it as uncharacterized. The record is from RefSeq and is a predicted model, not a curated record. NCBI's taxonomy places the organism in Eukaryota, Metazoa, Chordata, Aves, Galliformes, Numididae. The transcript is spliced from 3 exons.